This 457-nucleotide ribosomal RNA is filed under the name uncultured bacterium. RNAcentral's name for it is "bacterial SSU rRNA". It matches the Rfam family "Bacterial small subunit ribosomal RNA", at positions 340 to 787 of the family's 1533-position model. The record is from RNAcentral.
UACGGGAGGCAGCAGUGGGGAAUAUUGCACAAUGGGCGCAAGCCUGAUGCAGCCAUGCCGCGUGUAUGAAGAAGGCCUUCGGGUUGUAAAGUACUUUCAGUCGUGAGGAAGGUGUUAAGGUUAAUAACCUUAGCAAUUGACGUUAGCGACAGAAGAAGCACCGGCUAACUCCGUGCCAGCAGCCGCGGUAAUACGGAGGGUGCGAGCGUUGCUCGGAAUUACUGGGCGUAAAGGGAGCGUAGGCGGACAUUUUAAGUCAGGGGUGAAAUCCCGGGGCUCAACCUCGGAAUUGCCUUUUGAUACUGGGUGUCUUGAGUAUGAGAGAGGUGUGUGGAACUCCGAGUGUAGAGGUGAAAUUCGUAGAUAUUCGGAAGAACACCAGUGGCGAAGGCGACACACUGGCUCAUUACUGACGCUGAGGCUCGAAAGCGUGGGGAGCAAACAGGAUUAGAUAACC